This 2915-nucleotide ribosomal RNA is filed under the name Acetivibrio saccincola. Its description in RNAcentral is "bacterial LSU rRNA". It matches the Rfam family "Bacterial large subunit ribosomal RNA". The record is from RNAcentral. Lineage: Bacteria; Bacillati; Bacillota; Clostridia; Acetivibrionales; Acetivibrionaceae.
AGGUCAAGCUAUUAAGAGCAUAGGGUGAAUGCCUAGGCACCAGAAGGCGAAGAAGGACGUGGUAAGCUGCGAUAAGCUGCGGUUAGGCGCAAACAGCCAUUGACCCGCAGAUUUCCGAAUGGGGGAACCCACCUGAGGUAAAUGCUCAGGUACUAUUGCAUGAAUCCAUAGUGCAAUAGGGCGAUACGUGGGGAACUGAAACAUCUAAGUACCCACAGGAAAAGAAAUCAACAGAGAUUCCGUGAGUAGUGGCGAGCGAAAGCGGAGGAGCCCAAACCAUACUAGCUUGCUAGUAUGGGGUUGUGGACUGGCAUAAUGAUUCUCGGAGCUUAGCAGAAUCAGGCUGGAAAGCCUGGACCAUAGAGGGUAAAAGUCCCGUAUGCGAAAAGUGAAGAGACAGGCCAGAAUCCAGAGUACCACGAGGCACGUGAAACCUUGUGGGAAGCAGGGAGGACCACCUUCCAAGGCUAAAUACUAACUGGUGACCGAUAGUGGAGCAGUACCGUGAGGGAAAGGUGAAAAGAACCCCGGGAGGGGAGUGAAAGAGAACCUGAAACCCUAUGUUUACAAGCAGUUGGAGAGCGUUAAGGCUCGACAGCGUACUUUUUGUAGAACGGUCCGGCGAGUUACUGUAUGUAGCGAGGUUAAGUACUAAAGGUACGGAGCCGCAGGGAAACCGAGUCUUAAUAGGGCGAUUAAGUUACAUGCAGUAGACCCGAAACCGGGUGAUCUAUCCAUGGGCAGGUUGAAACGAGAGUAAAAUCUCGCGGAGGACCGAACCCGGAACCGUUGAAAAGGUUUGGGAUGACCUGUGGAUAGGGGUGAAAUGCCAAUCGAACUCGGAGAUAGCUGGUUCUCCUCGAAAUAGCUUUAGGGCUAGCCUCAAGGUAGUCUAACGGAGGUAAAGCACUGAUUGGGCUAGGGGCCUUACCGGGUUACCGAACCCUAUCAAACUCUGAAUGCCGUAUAGAUGUUCCUUGGGAGUCAGACUAUGUGAGAUAAGUUUCAUAGUCGAGAGGGAAACAACCCAGACCACCAGCUAAGGUCCCAAAAUCGCAGUUAAGUGGAAAAGGAUGUGGGUUUGCUAAGACAACUAGGAUGUUGGCUUAGAAGCAGCCAUUCAUUUAAAGAGUGCGUAAUAGCUCACUAGUCGAGUGAACCUGCGCCGAAAAUGUCCGGGGCUUAAACUGUGUACCGAAGCUGUGGCUUUGUGUGAGAGCACAAGGGGUAGGGGAGCGUACUGUACUGGCAGAAGCAUGAUCGGAAGGACAUGUGGACGGUACAGUAGUGAGAAUGCCGGAAUGAGUAGCGAGAGUAAAGUGAGAAUCUUUACCGUCGAAAGCCUAAGGUUUCCUGGGGAAGGUUCGUCCGCCCAGGGUAAGUCGGGACCUAAGCUGAGGCCGGAAGGCGUAGGCGAUGGGGAACAGGUUGAAAUUCCUGUACUACCGCUGUUCGUUAAGAGAAGUGGGGACGCAGGGGGAUAGGUUAAGCGAGCGGCUGGAAGAGCUCGUCCAAGGGAGGUAGAUAGGCCGGUAGGCAAAUCCGCCGGUUGUUUCGAAGUCCUGAUGGGGAGGGAAAUAUAAGUACCGAAGUAACUGAUUCCGCACUGACAAGAAAAGCCACUAUCGAGAGCAGAGGUACCCGUACCGCAAACCGACACAGGUAGGUGAGGAGAGAAUCCUAAGACGAGCGGGAGAAGCGUUGUUAAGGAACUCGGCAAAUUGACCCCGUAAGUUCGCGAGAAGGGGUGCCUGGUAAGACAGGCCGCAGAGAGUAGGCCCAAACAACUGUUUAUCAAAAACACAGGUCUCUGCUAAAUCGAAAGAUGAAGUAUAGGGGCUGACGCCUGCCCGGUGCUGGAAGGUUACGGGGAUCUGUUAGCUUAGAGCGAAGCAGUGAACCUAAGCCCCAGUAAACGGCGGCCGUAACUAUAACGGUCCUAAGGUAGCGAAAUUCCUUGUCAGGUAAGUUCUGACCCGCACGAAAGGCGUAAUGAUUUGGGCGCUGUCUCGACAACGCACCCGGUGAAAUUGUAGUACUCGUGAAGAUGCGAGUUACCCGCGACAAGACGGAAAGACCCCAUGGAGCUUUACUGUAGCCUGAUACUGGGUUUUGGUAUUCUUUGUACAGGAUAGGUGGGAGGCAUAGAAGUAUGUACGCCAGUAUAUAUGGAGCCGUCGUUGGGAUACCACUCUAAGGAUGCUGAAGCUCUAACCAGAGGCCGUGAAUCCGGUCUUGGGACAAUGUCAGGUGGGCAGUUUGACUGGGGCGGUCGCCUCCUAAAAGGUAACGGAGGCGUCCAAAGGUUACCUCAGCACGGUUGGAAAUCGUGCAUUGAGUGCAAAGGCAUAAGGUAGCCUGACUGCGAGACAGACAGGUCGAGCAGGUACGAAAGUAGGGCUUAGUGAUCCGGCGGUAUGAGAGUGGAAUUGCCGUCGCUCAACGGAUAAAAGCUACCCUGGGGAUAACAGGCUUAUCUCCCCCAAGAGUCCACAUCGACGGGGAGGUUUGGCACCUCGAUGUCGGCUCAUCGCAUCCUGGAGCUGGAGUAGGUUCCAAGGGUUUGGCUGUUCGCCAAUUAAAGCGGUACGCGAGCUGGGUUCAGAACGUCGUGAGACAGUUCGGUCCCUAUCUGUCGUGGGCGUAGGAUAUUUGAAGGGAGCUGUCCUUAGUACGAGAGGACCGGGAUGGACAAACCUCUGGUGCACCAGUUGUCACGCCAGUGGCACAGCUGGGUAGCUAAGUUUGGAAGGGAUAAACGCUGAAGGCAUCUAAGCGUGAAGCCCCCCCUAAGAUGAGAUAUCCCACCGUUUACGGUUAAGACCCCAUGAAGACUACAUGGUAGAUAGGCCAGGUGUGCAAGUGCAGUAAUGCAUUUAGCUGACUGGUACUAAUAGGUCGAGGGCUUGAUCAAG